UACGUAGGGUGCGAGCGUUGUCCGGAAUUACUGGGCGUAAAGAGCUCGUAGGUGGUUUGUCGCGUCGUCUGUGAAAUUCCGGGGCUUAACUCCGGGCGUGCAGGCGAUACGGGCAUAACUUGAGUACUGUAGGGGAGGACUGGAAUUCCUGGUGUAGCGGUGAAAUGCGCAGAUAUCAGGAGGAACACCGGUGGCGAAGGCGGGUCUCUGGGCAGUAACUGACGCUGAGGAGCGAAAGCAUGGGUAGCGAACAGGAUUAGAUACCCUGGUA
This 271-nucleotide ribosomal RNA is filed under the name uncultured prokaryote. RNAcentral describes it as "partial 16S ribosomal RNA". It matches the Rfam family "Bacterial small subunit ribosomal RNA", at positions 524 to 792 of the family's 1533-position model. The record is from RNAcentral.